This 495-nucleotide ribosomal RNA is filed under the name uncultured bacterium. RNAcentral describes it as "partial 16S ribosomal RNA". It matches the Rfam family "Bacterial small subunit ribosomal RNA", at positions 28 to 507 of the family's 1533-position model. The record is from RNAcentral.
GAUGAACGCUGGCGGCGUGCCUAAUACAUGCAAGUCGAACGCUGAAGGAGGAGCUUGCUCUUCUGGAUGAGUUGCGAACGGGUGAGUAACGCGUAGGUAACCUGCCUGGUAGCGGGGGAUAACUAUUGGAAACGAUAGCUAAUACCGCAUGACAACAGUUAUUGCAUGAUAACUGUUUAAAAGGGGCAACUGCUCCACUACCAGAUGGACCUGCGUUGUCUUAGCUAGUUGGUGAGGUAACGGCUCACCAAGGCGACGAUACAUAGCCGACCUGAGAGGGGGGUCGGCCACACUGGGACCGAGACACGGCCCAGACUCCUACGGGAGGCAGCAGUAGGGAAUCUUCGGCAAUGGACGGAAGUCUGACCGAGCAACGCCGCGGGAGUGAAGAAGGGUUUCGGAUCGUAAAGCUCUGUUGUAAGAGAAGAACGAGUGUGAGAGUGGAAAGUUCACACUGUGACGGUAUCUAACCAGAAAGGGACGGCUAACUACGUG